GACGAACGCUGGCGGCGUGCUUAACACAUGCAAGUCGAACGGUAAGGCCCCUUCGGGGGUACACGAGUGGCGAACGGGUGAGUAACACGUGAGCAACCUGCCCUUGACUCUGGAAUAAGCGCUCGAAAGGGCGUCUAAUACUGGAUAUGACUUCUGCCUGCAUGGGUGGGAGUGGAAAGCUUCGGCGGUUGAGGAUGGGCUCGCGGCCUAUCAGCUUGUUGGUGAGGUAAUGGCUCACCAAGGCUUCGACGGGUAGCCGGCCUGAGAGGGCGACCGGCCACACUGGGACUGAGAUACGGCCCAGACACCUACGGGAGGCUG
This 321-nucleotide ribosomal RNA is filed under the name uncultured Actinomycetes bacterium. RNAcentral describes it as "bacterial SSU rRNA". It matches the Rfam family "Bacterial small subunit ribosomal RNA", at positions 28 to 351 of the family's 1533-position model. Lineage: Bacteria; Bacillati; Actinomycetota; Actinomycetes. The record is from RNAcentral.